GCCUGGGUGGCUCAGUUGGUGAAGCGUCUGACUUCGGCUCAGGUCAUGAUCUCAUGGUCCGUGAGUUCGAGCCCCGCGUCAGGCU
This 85-nucleotide transfer RNA is filed under the name Felis catus (domestic cat). It matches the Rfam family "tRNA". From Rfam's summary of the family: Transfer RNA (tRNA) molecules are approximately 80 nucleotides in length. Their secondary structure includes four short double-helical elements and three loops (D, anti-codon, and T loops). Lineage: Eukaryota; Metazoa; Chordata; Mammalia; Carnivora; Felidae. The record is from Rfam by way of RNAcentral.